RNAcentral lists this ribosomal RNA (465 nucleotides) under uncultured bacterium. RNAcentral's name for it is "partial 16S ribosomal RNA". It matches the Rfam family "Bacterial small subunit ribosomal RNA", at positions 28 to 506 of the family's 1533-position model. The record is from RNAcentral.
GAUGAACGCUGGCGGCGUGCUUAACACAUGCAAGUCGAACGAUGAAGCCCAGCUUGCUGGGUGGAUUAGUGGCGAACGGGUGAGUAACACGUGAGUAACCUGCCCUUGACUCUGGGAUAAGCCUGGGAAACUGGGUCUAAUACUGGAUAUGACUUCUCAUCGCAUGGUGGGGGGUGGAAAGAUUUAUUGGUCUUGGAUGGACUCGCGGCCUAUCAGCUUGUUGGUGAGGUAAUGGCUCACCAAGGCGACGACGGGUAGCCGGCCUGAGAGGGUGACCGGCCACACGGGGACUGAGAACCGGCCCGGGCCCCUACGGGGGGGAGGGGGGGGGAAUAUUGAGCAAGGGGCGCAAGCCUGAUGCAGCGACCCCGCGGGGGGGAUGGCGGCCUUCGGGUUGUAAACCUCUUUCAGUAGGGAAGAAGCGGGAGGGACGGUACCGGCAGAAGAAGCGCCGGCUAACUACGU